UAACACGGGGGGAGCAAGCGUUGUUCGGAAUUACUGGGCGUAAAGGGCGUGUAGGCGGUCAGGUAAGUGGGAUGUGAAAUCCUCCGGCUCACCCGGAGACCUGCAUCCCAAACUGUCUGGCUUGAGUAUGGGAGAGGAUGAGGGAAUUCCUGGUGUAGCGGUGAAAUGCGUAGAUAUCAGGAGGAACACCGGUGGCGAAAGCGCUCAUCUGGCCCAAUACUGACGCUGAGGCGCGAAAGCUAGGGGAGCAAACGGGAUUAGAUACCCCGGUAGUCCUAGCCGUAAACGGUGAGCACUAGGUGUUGGAGGCAUCGACCCCUCCAGUGCCGCAGCUAACGCAUUAAGUGCUCCGCCUGGGGAGUACGGCCGCAAGGUUG
RNAcentral lists this ribosomal RNA (377 nucleotides) under uncultured bacterium. Its description in RNAcentral is "bacterial SSU rRNA". It matches the Rfam family "Bacterial small subunit ribosomal RNA", at positions 521 to 896 of the family's 1533-position model. The record is from RNAcentral.